AUGAAAGAAAAUCCAUCUAUUAGUGUGACCAUUCUCUUAGCAUAUCUUAUUCUAGCCAUCGGAGGAAAAGAAGUAAAGUGUAUCAGACGAGAAGAAAAUACUAGCGGGGUCCCACUGAAUCAAAAAGUCAAUAAGACUAUUCUGGUUGACGGAAGAGAUGUUUAUGACUGCAUCGAUGUGAAUCUACAACUAGCCUUUAGCCAUCCACUACUAAAAGACCACAAAAUCCAGAUGGAACCAAGCUCUUUCCCACAAAGUAUUUCUACCAAAUCUCCGUCGAUGGAUGUCAUCCCACAGGCCCAAUUGCCCUUGAUUGAGUGCCCUACAGGAAUGAUUCCGAUAUUGCGUAACAAUAGAAGGGUCCAGACGCCAAUAGAAACUAUUGAUAAAGUGACUACCAAUGAAGAACAUGAGGUUGCAGGAGUGGAGUAUUAUGAUGAGCUAUAUGGAACGCGGGCUAAAAUAAAUAUCUAUAAUCCUAUGGUGAAAAAUAAUAAUGGGAUCGGGGCUGGUUCUUGGGUAUAUCCAAGCUACAGUGGUGACAACUCUGCUAGGUUUCAUGUUGCUUGGGUUGAUGGCUUAAAGACUUGCCCUGAUCAUGAUUGUGGCGUUUUCGUGCAAGUUAGCUCAAGUGUUGGUCUAGGAGGAAGACUUAAACCAGUUUCUGUCUAUAAAGGACCACAAUACAUGAUAGAUGUUGCUAUUUUCAAGGAUCCAGUGACUAAACAUUGGUGGGUGGCUUAUGGUCCACAAAACAUACAUAUUGGAUACUGGCCAAGAGAAAUUUUCCAUUUCAUGAAGGAUCAAUGUAAUUAUGCAUUAUGGGGUGGAUAUGUUCAAGGUCCGACAGCAUCAUCAGACUCUCCACAAAUGGGUAGUGGCCAUUUUGCUUCCGAAGGACUUGGAAAAGCAGCAUUUGUGAGAAAUAUCGAAAUUUUAAAUAAGAAAAACAAGUAUGUUAUUCCAGAUGAAAAUAAAUUUGGGUAUGUCACCACCAAUUUAUCCAAAUAUACUGCAAAAGGUUCUGUUGAUGGAUAUAGUCAGUUUGGUGUGCAUACUUACUAUGGUGGACCUGGUGGUUUUGUUUGA
Molecule: ribosomal RNA, 1089 nt
Filed under: Triticum aestivum (bread wheat)
Lineage: Eukaryota; Viridiplantae; Streptophyta; Magnoliopsida; Poales; Poaceae
Description: partial small subunit ribosomal RNA
Source: RNAcentral